This 253-nucleotide ribosomal RNA is filed under the name uncultured bacterium. RNAcentral's name for it is "partial 16S ribosomal RNA". It matches the Rfam family "Bacterial small subunit ribosomal RNA", at positions 524 to 776 of the family's 1533-position model. The record is from RNAcentral.
UACAGGGGGUGCAAACGUUGCUCGGAAUCAUUGGGCGUAAAGCGCACGUAGGCGGUCUGUUAUGUCGGAUGUGAAAGCCCUUGGCUCAACUGAGGAAGUGCAUCCGAAACUGGCAGGCUAGAGUACUAAAGAGGAUCGCGGAAUUCCCGGUGUAGAGGUGAAAUUCGUAGAUAUCAGGAGGAACACCUAUUGCGAAGGCAGCUCGCUGGGACGUAACUGACGCUGAGACGCGAAAGCGUGGGGAGCAAACAGG